Molecule: ribosomal RNA, 232 nt
Filed under: uncultured Enterobacterales bacterium
Lineage: Bacteria; Pseudomonadati; Pseudomonadota; Gammaproteobacteria; Enterobacterales
Description: partial 16S ribosomal RNA
Rfam family: Bacterial small subunit ribosomal RNA
Source: RNAcentral
CGGACGGGUGAGUAAUGUCUGGGAAACUGCCUGAUGGAGGUGGAUAACUACUGGAAACGGUAGCUAAUACCGCAUAACGUCGCAAGACCAAAGAGGGGGACCUUCGGGCCUCUUGCCAUCGGAUGUGCCCAGAUGGUAUUAGCUAGUAGGUGGGGUAACGGCUCACCUAGGCGACGAUCCCUAGCUGGUCUGAGAGGAUGACCAGCCACACUGGAACUGAGACACGGUCCAG